GACGAACGUUGGCGGCGUGCUUAACACAUGCAAGUCGAACGGAAAGGCCCUGCUUUUGUGGGGUGCUCGAGUGGCGAACGGGUGAGUAACACGUGAGUAACCUGCCCUUGACUUUGGGAUAACUUCAGGAAACUGGGGCUAAUACCGGAUAGGAGCUCCUGCUGCAUGGUGGGGGUUGGAAAGUUUCGGCGGUUGGGGAUGGACUCGCGGCUUAUCAGCUUGUUGGUGGGGUAGUGGCUUACCAAGGCUUUGACGGGUAGCCGGCCUGAGAGGGUGACCGGCCACAUUGGGACUGAGAUACGGCCCAGACUCCUACGGGAGGCAGCAGUGGGGAAUAUUGCACAAUGGGCGGAAGCCUGAUGCAGCAACGCCGCGUGCGGGAUGACGGCCUUCGGGUUGUAAACCGCUUUCGCCUGUGACGAAGCGUGAGUGACGGUAAUGGGUAAAGAAGCACCGGCUAACUACGUGCCAGCAGCCGCGGUGAUACGUAGGGUGCGAGCGUUGUCCGGAUUUAUUGGGCGUAAAGGGCUCGUAGGUGGUUGAUCGCGUCGGAAGUGUAAUCUUGGGGCUUAACCCUGAGCGUGCUUUCGAUACGGGUUGACUUGAGGAAGGUAGGGGAGAAUGGAAUUCCUGGUGGAGCGGUGGAAUGCGCAGAUAUCAGGAGGAACACCAGUGGCGAAGGCGGUUCUCUGGGCCUUUCCUGACGCUGAGGAGCGAAAGCGUGGGGAGCGAACAGGCUUAGAUACCCUGGUAGUCCACGCUGUAAACGGUGGGUACUAGGUGUGGGGUCCAUUCCACGGGUUCCGUGCCGUAGCUAACGCUUUAAGUACCCCGCCUGGGGAGUACGGCCGCAAGGCUAAAACUCAAAGGAAUUGACGGGGCCCCGCACAAGCGGCGGAGCAUGCGGAUUAAUUCGAUGCAACGCGUAGAACCUUACCUGGGUUUGACAUGGAUCGGGAGUGCUCAGAGAUGGGUGUGCCUCUUUUGGGGUCGGUUCACAGGUGGUGCAUGCCUGUCGUCAGCUCGUGUCGUGAGAUGUUGGGUUAAGUCCCGCAACGAGCGCAACCCUUGUUCACUGUUGCCAGCACGUUAUGGUGGGGACUCAGUGGAGACCGCCGGGGUCAACUCGGAGGAAGGUGGGGAUGGCGUCAAGUCCUCAUGCCCCUUAUGUCCAGGGCUUCACGCAUGCUACAAUGGCUGGUACAGAGAGUGGCGAGCCUGUGAGGGUGAGCGAAUCUCGGAAAGCCGGUCUCAGUUCGGAUUGGGGUCUGCAACUCGACCUCAUGAAGUCGGAGUCGCUAGUAAUCGCAGAUCAGCAACGCUGCGGUGAAUACGUUCCCGGGGCU
This 1346-nucleotide ribosomal RNA is filed under the name uncultured bacterium. RNAcentral's name for it is "bacterial SSU rRNA". It matches the Rfam family "Bacterial small subunit ribosomal RNA", at positions 28 to 1381 of the family's 1533-position model. The record is from RNAcentral.